AUGGAGGCAGACACACUGUUCCUAUGGGUGCUGCUGCUCUGGGUUCCAGGCUCUAAUGGUGACAUUGUGCUGACCCAGUCUCCAGCUUCUUUGGCUGUGUCUCUAGGGAAGACAGCGACCAUCUCCUGCAGGGCCAGUGAAAGUGUUUAUAGUGCUAUGAACUGGUACCAACAUAGACCAGGACAGCCACCCAAACUCCUCAUCUAUGGUGGAUCCAACCUAGAAUCUGGGGUUCCUGCCAGGUUCAGUGGCAGUGGGUCUGGGACAGACUACACCCUCACUAUCAAUCCUAUGGAGGCUGAUGAUGAUGGAGACUAUUUCUGUCAGCAAUAUUUGAAGCUUCCUCCCACAGUGCUCCAGGGCUGA
Arvicanthis niloticus (Nile rat) is the source of this 366-nucleotide non-coding RNA. Lineage: Eukaryota; Metazoa; Chordata; Mammalia; Rodentia; Muridae. The record is from the annotation of a RefSeq genome assembly.